This is a non-coding RNA of Camellia sinensis, 207 nucleotides long. The record is from RefSeq and is a predicted model, not a curated record. Lineage: Eukaryota; Viridiplantae; Streptophyta; Magnoliopsida; Ericales; Theaceae.
UCUUAGCCUUGAUCUCAACUUCUCUGUCUUCUAUUAUGAGAUUAUGAAUUCUCUUGAGAGGUACAUAUGCCUUGGCUUGAAGGAGUGUUUGAUUAGCUCAUAAAAAGUUGUUGUGACUUUGUUUGCCGCAAUGGUUGAUUAGGUUAUACAAUGAAUGGAAGUGUUGUGUGGGUCUAUUAGUGAAUUUUUCAAGAAAUGGAGAGUAAU